Molecule: transfer RNA, 63 nt
Filed under: Spurilla braziliana
Lineage: Eukaryota; Metazoa; Mollusca; Gastropoda; Nudibranchia; Aeolidiidae
Description: tRNA-Thr
Rfam family: tRNA
About the family: Transfer RNA (tRNA) molecules are approximately 80 nucleotides in length.
Source: RNAcentral
UCUAAUAUAGCUUAAAACUAAAGCACUAACUUUGUAACUUAGAGAUGGGGAUUCCCUAUUAGA